This 301-nucleotide ribosomal RNA is filed under the name uncultured bacterium. Its description in RNAcentral is "partial 16S ribosomal RNA". It matches the Rfam family "Bacterial small subunit ribosomal RNA", at positions 509 to 809 of the family's 1533-position model. The record is from RNAcentral.
CAGUCGCCGCGGGAAUACGGAGGGUGCAAGCGUUAAUCGGAAUUACUGGGCGUAAAGCGCACGCAGGCGGUCUGUCAAGUCAGAUGUGAAAUCCCCGGGCUUAACCUGGGAACUGCAUUUGAAACUGGCAGGCUAGAGUCUUGUAGAGGGGGGUAGAAUUCCAGGUGUAGCGGUGAAAUGCGUAGAGAUCUGGGGGAAUACCGGUGGCGAAGGCGGCCCCCUGGACAAAGACUGACGCUCAGGUGCGAAAGCGUGGGGAGCAAACAGGAUUAGAUACCCGCGUAGUCCCUGUCUCUUAUCC